GCUUAACACAUGCAAGUCGAGCGGUAAGGCCCUUCGGGGUACACGAGCGGCGAACGGGUGAGUAACACGUGGGUGAUCUGCCUUGCACUCUGGGAUAAGCCUGGGAAACUGGGUCUAAUACCGGAUAUGAGCCUGGACUGCAUGGUCUGGGUUGGAAAGGUUUACUGGUGCGAGAUGGGCCCGCGGCCUAUCAGCUUGUUGGUGGGGUAACGGCCUACCAAGGCGACGACGGGUAGCCGACCUGAGAGGGUGACCGGCCACACUGGGACUGAGACACGGCCCAGACUCCUACGGGAGGCAGCAGUGGGGAAUAUUGCACAAUGGGCGAAAGCCUGAUGCAGCGACGCCGCGUGAGGGAUGACGGCCUUCGGGUUGUAAACCUCUUUUGACAGGGACGAAGCGCAAGUGACGGUACCUGUAGAAGAAGCACCGGCCAACUACGUGCCAGCAGCCGCGGUAAUACGUAGGGUGCGAGCGUUGUCCGGAAUUACUGGGCGUAAAGAGCUUGUAGGCGGUCUGUCACGUCGAUUGUGAAAACUUGCAGCUCAACUGCAAGCUUGCAGUCGAUACGGGCAGACUAGAGUACUGCAGGGGAGACUGGAAUUC
RNAcentral lists this ribosomal RNA (606 nucleotides) under Nocardia niigatensis. Its description in RNAcentral is "bacterial SSU rRNA". It matches the Rfam family "Bacterial small subunit ribosomal RNA", at positions 46 to 669 of the family's 1533-position model. Lineage: Bacteria; Bacillati; Actinomycetota; Actinomycetes; Mycobacteriales; Nocardiaceae. The record is from RNAcentral.